AACGAUGUUCACUAGUCGUCGGGAUGCUAGACAUUUCGGUGAUGCACUUAACAGAUUAAGUGAACCGCCUGGGGAGUACGGUCGCAAGAUUAAAACUCAAAGGAAUAGACGGGGACCCGCACAAGUGGUGGAGCAUGUGGUUUAAUUCGAAGAUACGCGAAGAACCUUACCUAGCCUUGACAUUGAAAAGACACACUAGAGAUAGAGUGGUGCCCUUAGGGGAAUUUGAAAACAGGUGCUGCACGGCUGUCGUCAGCUCGUGUCGUGAGAUGUUGGGUUAAGUCCCGCAACGAGCGCAACCCUCGUCCUUAGUUGCCAGCAGGUUAAGCUGGGCACUUUAAGGAGACUGCCUUCGUAAGGAGGAGGAAGGUGAGGACGACGUCAAGUCAUCAUGGCCCUUAUGGCUAGGGCUACACACGUGCUACAAUGGGGCGUACAGAGAGUUGCGAUACCGCGAGGUGGAGCCAAUCUCAUAAAGCGUCUCUCAGUUCGGAUAGCAGUCUGCAACUCGACUGCUUGAAGCUGGAAUCACUAGUAAUCGUAGAUCAGCAAUGCUACGGUGAAUACGUUCCCGGGUCUUGUACUCACCGCCCGUCACACCAUGGGAGUUGAUUUCACCCGAAAUUGGGAAGCUAACCUUUUGGAGGCUACCACUUANCGGUGGAAUUAGCGACUGGGGUGAAGUCGUAACAAGGAGCCG
RNAcentral lists this ribosomal RNA (700 nucleotides) under uncultured bacterium. Its description in RNAcentral is "bacterial SSU rRNA". It matches the Rfam family "Bacterial small subunit ribosomal RNA", at positions 805 to 1501 of the family's 1533-position model. The record is from RNAcentral.